Molecule: ribosomal RNA, 463 nt
Filed under: Vreelandella stevensii
Lineage: Bacteria; Pseudomonadati; Pseudomonadota; Gammaproteobacteria; Oceanospirillales; Halomonadaceae
Description: partial 16S ribosomal RNA
Rfam family: Bacterial small subunit ribosomal RNA
Source: RNAcentral
CCUACGGGGGCAGCAGUGGGGAAUAUUGGACAAUGGGCGAAAGCCUGAUCCAGCCAUGCCGCGUGUGUGAAGAAGGCCUUCGGGUUGUAAAGCACUUUCAGUGGGGAAGAAAGCCUUGGGGCUAAUACCCUCGAGGAAGGACAUCACCCACAGAAGAAGCACCGGCUAACUCCGUGCCAGCAGCCGCGGUAAUACGGAGGGUGCGAGCGUUAAUCGGAAUUACUGGGCGUAAAGCGCGCGUAGGCGGUCUGAUAAGCCGGUUGUGAAAGCCCCGGGCUCAACCUGGGAACGGCAUCCGGAACUGUCAGGCUAGAGUGCAGGAGAGGAAGGUAGAAUUCCCGGUGUAGCGGUGAAAUGCGUAGAGAUCGGGAGGAAUACCAGUGGCGAAGGCGGCCUUCUGGACUGACACUGACGCUGAGGUGCGAAAGCGUGGGUAGCAAACAGGAUUAGAUACCCUUGAGUC